GCUGGCGGCACGCCUAACACAUGCAAGUCGAACGGAGUAGCAAUACUUAGUGGCAGACGGGUGAGUAACAUGUAGGUAUCUGCCCUUUGGCCUGGAAUAACACGAGGAAACUUGUGCUAAUACCGGAUAAGUCUUUACGGAGAAAGCUUUAUGCACCAUUGGAUGAGCCUGCACUUGAUUAGUUUGUUGGUGGGGUAAUGGCCUACCAAGACUUUGAUCAAUAGCUGAUUUGAGAGGAUGAUCAGCCACAUUGGGACUGAGACACGGCCCAAACUCCUACGGGAGGCAGCAGUGGGGAAUCUUGCACAAUGGAGGAAACUCUGAUGCAGCGAUGCCGCGUGAGUGAAGAAGGCCCUUGGGUUGUAAAGCUCUUUCGUCGGGGAAGAAAAUGACUGUACCCGAAUAAGAAGGUCCGGCUAACUUCGUGCCAGCAGCCGCGGUAAUACGAAGGGACCUAGCGUAGUUCGGAAUUACUGGGCUUAAAGAGUUCGUAGGUGGUUGAAAAAGUUGGUGGUGAAAUCCCAGAGCUUAACUCUGGAACUGCCAUCAAAACUUUUCAGCUAGAGUUUGAUAGAGGAAAGCAGAAUUUCUAGUGUAGAGGUGAAAUUCGUAGAUAUUAGAAAGAAUACCAAUUGCGAAGGCAGCUUUCUGGAUCAUUACUGACACUGAGGAACGAAAGCAUGGGUAGCGAAGAGGAUUAGAUACCCUCGUAGUCCAUGCCGUAAACGAUGUGUGUUAGACGUUGGAAAUUUAUUUUCAGUGUC
RNAcentral lists this ribosomal RNA (764 nucleotides) under uncultured Pelagibacteraceae bacterium. Its description in RNAcentral is "bacterial SSU rRNA". It matches the Rfam family "Bacterial small subunit ribosomal RNA", at positions 35 to 847 of the family's 1533-position model. Lineage: Bacteria; Pseudomonadati; Pseudomonadota; Alphaproteobacteria; Candidatus Pelagibacterales; Candidatus Pelagibacteraceae. The record is from RNAcentral.